UCGAUUGUAUAUGAACGAAAUGAUUACAUUCUUAAUCAAUUUUCUCAUGAAAGAAUGUCUAAGUUCUACUUGCCUAGACUUUCUGUUCUACAAUAUUUGUAUGCUCUAUGUAAAGUGGCUUGACUACCGCAAUGUAUUAACACCUCUGAAACAUUGUCUUUAGUCAAUGGAACUUCCAGUAUAAGGUCCCUUAACCCUUUAAUUUCUUCACCAGCGGAAGCAAAAGCCUCGAACUCUGAUUAUAUGGUUAAGAGAAUGAUUC
Molecule: long non-coding RNA, 262 nt
Filed under: Lathyrus oleraceus (garden pea)
Lineage: Eukaryota; Viridiplantae; Streptophyta; Magnoliopsida; Fabales; Fabaceae
Description: Pisum sativum (pea) long non-coding RNA (PSAT_LNC002824)
Source: RNAcentral